Molecule: ribosomal RNA, 376 nt
Filed under: uncultured bacterium
Lineage: Bacteria
Description: bacterial SSU rRNA
Rfam family: Bacterial small subunit ribosomal RNA
Source: RNAcentral
UAAAACGUAGGGGGCUAGCGUUGCCCGGAUUCACUGGGCGUAAAGCGGGUGUAGGCGGUUCUCUAAGUCGGAUGUGAAAUCCAGCGGCCCAACCGCUGAAUUGCAUCCGAUACUGGGGAACUUGAGGACGGUAGAGGUCGGUGGAAUUCCCGGUGUACCGGUGAAAUGGACAGAUAUCGGGAGGAACACCAGUGGCGAAGGCGGCCGACUGGGCCGAUCCUGACGCUGAGACCCGAAAGCCAGGGUAGCGAACCGGAUUAGAUACCCGGGUAGUCCUGGCCGUAAACGGUGCGAACUAGGUGUGGGGACCUUCACGGUCUCCGUGCCGAAGCUAACGCAUUAAGUUCGCCGCCUGGGGAGUACGGCCGCAAGGCUA